GACGGAAGGUGCAAGCGUUGCUCGGAAUCACUGGGCGUAAAGGGUGCGUAGGCGGCCUGGUAAGUCUGGCGUGAAAGCCCAGGGCUCAGCCCUGGAAGGGCGCUAGAAACUGCGAGGCUCGAGUGCCGGAGGGGAGAGUGGAAUUCCUGGUGUAGCGGUGAAAUGCGCAGAUAUCAGGAAGAACACCCGUGGCGAAGGCGGCUCUCUGGGACGGUACUGACGCUGAGACGCGAAAGCGUGGGGAGCGAACAGG
This 253-nucleotide ribosomal RNA is filed under the name uncultured bacterium. RNAcentral's name for it is "partial 16S ribosomal RNA". It matches the Rfam family "Bacterial small subunit ribosomal RNA", at positions 524 to 776 of the family's 1533-position model. The record is from RNAcentral.